This 407-nucleotide long non-coding RNA is filed under the name Gossypium raimondii (Peruvian cotton). Its description in RNAcentral is "long non-coding RNA (GRAI_LNC009910)". Lineage: Eukaryota; Viridiplantae; Streptophyta; Magnoliopsida; Malvales; Malvaceae. The record is from RNAcentral.
GGAUAAUCGGUAAGUAAUAUUUGAUGACAAUAUGGAUAUUUUGGCCUUGUGACUUAAUGAGACCAUUGGAUAUAGUUGACAUUUCAUAGGAUUGUGAGUUCUCAUAUAUAUGUGUUAUGAUAUAUGGGGUGAUGAGGCCUAGGGACAGUCUUGGAAAGAUAAGGGAAUGUGAGCCAAGCUCCAUUCACUGGGAUAUAUAUGUGUGGUGUGUUGGAGAGCAUUAGCUAAGGAUAUUUUGGCCUUGUGACUUAAUGAGACCAUUGGAUAUAGUUGGCAUUUCAUAAGAUUGUGGGUUCUCAUAUAUAUGUGUUGUGAUAUAUGAGGCGAUGAGGCCUAGGGACAGUUUUGGAGAGAUAAGGGAAUAUGAGCCAAGCUCCAUUCACUGGGAUAUAUAUGUGUGGUGUGUU